GAGGCUCGACGGACAACAUGUUGGCUGGGUGUAAUGCAGACUAGAGGCGUUUUCUGGUGGGGUGGAUGUCACAGCCCAGGUGUCGGACCUGGGUCCUGGUAAAGAGAUGCGUGGGGCAGAGUCUCUUGCAGCAACGGGAACUGUCCCUAUACCUAAAUUGCUAGAGGUCUCGCUUAACCCUCACCACGAUCUGCUGUUGUUGGGAUAAGCGCCCGUUGCCUGCGCUGAGGAUGGGCAGGCUGACGUCCAUGAUGGGCUUCCUCCUUUGGUGAGUGGCCACGAGAGGUUCUUUGCUACUCCUGAAGUAGCAACAUCUAUUGCCACGAGCGAGGCUGUCUCUUUAGAGGCGACGACAGGUCAGCAUGGUACUCUCAUAGCGGCAGAGGUGGUUGUCCCGUCUCCUCCACCUUUUGCCGUUGCGGUAACUGCUGUGAUUGGGUUGGGAGCUAGCAACACGAGUAGAUCAGCAGAUGUGGAAGAGAGGUGUCGGCCUGUUUUCGUCGGGGCUGAAUCCAGUAAUCCAGGGGCUGAAGGGAUCGUGGUGGGGCUGUAUUCAUCAGCAGGGAACCUCUCCCCAAGAGGUCAGCCGGUUAUAGAGGUGGUACUACCAUUAGUUUCCAAUGAUGCUUUGUGUGACCGAGAUGACUCUCUCCCAAUGGUUCGUCAACAUAAGGGCUAUCGCUCAAUCGCCCCUUCAGAUAGAACUUUGCACUCUUCGGUACCCAAAUCGCAGAAUUCCUUCCAAGUGUUAUCUGAUGAUUAAUUCUCUCUUUUGGAAUAUAAGAGGUUUGUCUAAACUUUCUCACCUUAGAAGGCUUAAAAAAUUAUUUCGCUAAAUCACAUUCAGCUUCUAGCAGUUUGUGAAAAUCGUAUUAGUAGUAUGCUUGCGGAUGAUUUCAGGCAUAGGCUCCGUUUCAAUAAUGUAGUAUGUAAUACUUCAGUCUCUAUAUGGGUGUUCUAUAAUGGGUCUUUUCAUCUGGUAUUGGUGGGUGAGGGGGAGCAGCAU
This 1006-nucleotide long non-coding RNA is filed under the name Coffea arabica (coffee). RNAcentral describes it as "long non-coding RNA (CARA_LNC002259)". The record is from RNAcentral. Lineage: Eukaryota; Viridiplantae; Streptophyta; Magnoliopsida; Gentianales; Rubiaceae.